Scophthalmus maximus (turbot) is the source of this 757-nucleotide long non-coding RNA. RefSeq lists it as uncharacterized. The transcript has 3 exons. The record is from RefSeq and is a predicted model, not a curated record. Lineage: Eukaryota; Metazoa; Chordata; Actinopteri; Pleuronectiformes; Scophthalmidae.
AGCAACCUGCCCGUUUCCCCGGACGCGCCGAGGACGAAACAGCUCUUGUUCUGCUGCCGGAAGUCUUCCUCCAGGGUCUUCAUGUCCUCAGCCAUGCUGAUGCUGUGGGCCACAACAAAUCAGCUGCUCUUGUUUACAUCGUGCACCGGUGCAGGAUUCCGAGCCUUUCGAACAUCACCUGCCGCAGCUGGAGCGGCUGUGAAGAACAUAUAGGAAGAUCAGAGAAGAGAAAGGGAGUCAAUGAAUCAAAGUCCACUGUGCCACUGCUGGAAGAAAAGGUCUGACAGACGUCAUGAUCCUGAGCAGCAGCGGUGUAAUCCAGCGUCGUCGCCAAUGUACUGAAGUGGCCCAUAACCCCCGCCAAGCAACAGUGCAAGACGGACACGACUCGGGAGAAGCUUCCACAAAUGGAAUUAUUGAAUUUAGCAGCGAUAUGAUGGACAGAUCGCCCCUUAACCUAAUUAUUAUGAUUUGAUUUCGGUACAGAUCUGAAAUUCAGAUUUUGUUGCAUUUCAAAGAAAUUGUUGUUUUUUUUUGGUCUCCAGUCCGAAAAGAAAUCUGGGACGACCCAAGUUUGCUGCUAAAGAGCGCCGUUGCAUUCAUGUUUCAUUUUUUCGUUCACAGGCAAAACAGAUGCUAAACGAUAAGAAAGCUUAUUCAUUCUAUUAUUUAUUUAUGCAUUCAUGAAGGAAUACAUUCAUUAAUUUGAUUCAUUCCCUUAAGAAAUUAACUCAGGAUUAAGGUUUGUUUUGCGAGA